AUGAGUGGCUGUGAUCUUUUGGGAGGCAGAGUGAUUUUAUCCCUUUGUUGUAGAAAGCAUGACCUUUCAGGCUUCUCCUACUUUCCACUUUAUGCCUGUAGUCAUAGCAUUAUUAUUUCCUGCAUAUGCCAUAUUCCCCCACACCAUUUAGUUAAUUAUAUUAUUGUUUAUCAUGAUUUCACAGGACUGGCUGCCCAAGUAGGGAAUAUGUGUGCACUCAGUUGUCACUGGCCAGGGGACUUAGCAGAUGGAGCUCGGAUUUCAGAUCUUCCAAGGCUUUGUCAAACCCUUCCCAGCCCCACACCUCUGCCAAGACUGGAUCAACAGGGACCAGUUUGUUCAGCCCGAACAAGAUCGACUAUUAUUAAACAGAGCCAACAACUCUAUGUGAACUUGGUAAAGAAAUAA
RNAcentral lists this long non-coding RNA (408 nucleotides) under Felis catus (domestic cat). Its description in RNAcentral is "lncRNA (ENSFCAG00000047673.1)". Lineage: Eukaryota; Metazoa; Chordata; Mammalia; Carnivora; Felidae. The record is from RNAcentral.